GACGAACCACACAAACGUUAUUCGGAAUUACUGGGCUUAAAGGGUGCGUAGGCGGCGCGGAAAGUUGGGUGUGAAAUCCCUCGGCUCAACCGAGGAACUGCGCCCAAAACUACCGUGCUCGAGGGAGAUAGAGGUGAGCGGAACUUAUGGUGGAGCGGUGAAAUGCGUUGAUAUCCUAAGGAACACCCGUGGCGAAAGCGGCUCACUGGGUCUUCUCUGACGCUGAGGCACGAAAGCUAGGGGAGCAAACAGG
RNAcentral lists this ribosomal RNA (253 nucleotides) under uncultured bacterium. Its description in RNAcentral is "partial 16S ribosomal RNA". It matches the Rfam family "Bacterial small subunit ribosomal RNA", at positions 524 to 776 of the family's 1533-position model. The record is from RNAcentral.